Molecule: long non-coding RNA, 2539 nt
Filed under: Homo sapiens (human)
Lineage: Eukaryota; Metazoa; Chordata; Mammalia; Primates; Hominidae
Description: HSALNT0085461
Source: RNAcentral
UCACUGAGUGCUAAUUCACUGAGCUUCCCUCCUGCUCACUCUUUCCCCUUUAAAUAUUGAAAUUCUCAAAACUUUCUUCGGAAAAAGUGCUGGUCACAGGUCCUACUGUGACUUGGGUUUCUAUUUCCCAGACACAUCCUCAACCUUGGCAAGAUAAACCUCUAAUCAAUUGAGAUCUGUGUCAGUCACUCUUUCGUUGGGUUACAUUUUGGUAGCCAUGAAGGCAUUCUCUGAAAGGAGUGUGAAGUUUAGACCUCGGUCUACAGCAGCUUCCCUAUCAGGGCCCUGCUACUAGCUGGAGCUCUUAUUGUCCUGACAGAUGACUUGAUUUGCUAAAGUGUGGGAGCUUCUCCCUCCAGAGAUCCCUGAUCUCCCAAUAAUUUUUGGUUGAGAUCUGAGGUUUAUUCUGCUGCUGAGCUCCUCUUCUGGGAGUUUUCUGCUUCUGUGAUGGCCAAGAGCAGGCUUCCACUUGGGCUCCAUCUCCAGGAAGUUCACAGAGUUUUGGGCCUUUGGAGUGGAAGGUCAUCCAAGAAACGAAGACCCCAGAGAGUAUGGCCGGACAGAAGUAUUUGAGCCUUUGGGGCCACGAAAAAGCCUAGCUUUAUGCAUUGUCCUUUGUCGUGGGCUUACUCUGAAUCUGGUACAUAUUUAAAAUCCCUUACUUCUGGGCAUGGUGGUUCAUACCUGUAAUCCCAGCAGUUUGAGAGGCCGAGACGGGUAGAUCACUUGAGAUCAGGAGUUCCAGACCAGCCUGGCCAACAUGAAGAAACCCUGUCUCUACUUAAAAUACAAAAAUGAGUCAACCAUGGUGGUGUGUACCUGUAAUUCCAGCUACUCGGGAGGCUAAGGCACAAGAAUAGCUGAAACCCAGGAGGCAGAGGUUGCAAUGAGCAGAGAUUGCACCACUGGACUCUAGCCUGGAUAAUGGACUGAGACUCUGUCUCAAAAUAAGAGCUGAGCUUUCGUUGCCGUCCAUCACUGCUGAAUGCUGCCGUCGCAGACCCUCCGCUGACUUCCACCCCUCCGGAUCCAGCAGGGUGUCUGCUGUGCUUCUGAUUCAGUGAAGCACCCAUUGCUGACUUCCACCCCUCCAGAUCCGGCAGGGUGUCCACUGCGCUUCUGAUCCAGUAAGGCACCCAUGGCGGCUCCUGCUCCCCACUGGGCUAGAGGCUUACCAUUGUUCCUGCCCAGCUAAGUGCCCGGGUUCAUCCUAAUCGAGCUGACCACUAGUCGCUGGGUUCCACAGUUCUCUUCCAUGACCCACAGCUUCUAAUAGAGCUAUAACACUCACUGCACGGCCGGAGGUUCCAUUCCUUGGAAUCCAUGAGGCCAAGAACCCCAGGUCAGAGAAUAAAAGGCUUGCUGCCAUCUUGGAUGCAGCCCACCACCAUCUUGGGAGCUCUAACAGCAAAGACCCACCCAGUAACAGUGUUGUGUGUAGGACAUUUCUCUCCCCAGUGUAGAGCUUCAUGCCAAGUUGCAUAAGGGCUUUCACAAAAAAAGCUCUAAGUGACUUGUAAUUUUGAUUGACUGGUAUGUAGCCAUGUAUGAAUGUGGUUGAACACAGAAGGAAACCAUCGAUAUUCACAUAUCUCUGCACUGAAACAUCUUUUUUUCACUAACUCAGCUCUGGUAUUUGCCUUUAGUCACCAUCUCAUAUCAUGACAUUUUCUAAGAUGAGUUUACCUCUGGGAUGACACUUGUCCUUCUUUCCUAGAAUUCUAAGAUGAGUUUACCUCUGGGAUGACACUUGUCCUUCUUUCCUAGAAUUCUAAGAUGAGUUUACCUCUGGGAUGACACUUGUCCUUCUUUCCUAGAAUGACCGCAUAUAGGUCUACUUCACAUACACUUAAAAUGUUUCUAAAACUUUUGGUUGCAUGAAGAACAAAAUGUUUACUUUUACUUGGAAAUAUUGGUGAGGUUUUCAUAGAGAAAAUGAGAAAUAGCUCCCUCUGAAUAGUGUACCAGAAUCUCACAGCAAACAAAAGUGGUGAAUCCUGGUGGGAAUGCAAAAUAGUACAGUUAUAGAAGAGUGGCAGUUUCUUACAAAACUAAAACCUACUUUUAUUAUAUGAUCUAACAAGAGUGCCCCUUGGUAUUUAUCCAAAUGAGUUGGAAACUUAUAUCCAUACAAAAGCCUGCAUACAAAUAUUUAUAAUAGUUCUAUUUAUAACUGCCUAAACUUGGAAGCAACUAAGCUGACCUUCAGUAGGUAAAUAGAUUUAAAAAAAAAAAACUAUGGAAUAUUUUGCAGUGCAAAGAAGAAAUAAGCUAUCAAGCUAUGUAAAGACACAGAGGAAUCUUGCCUAUAUAUUACUAAGUGAAAGAAACCAACCUGAAAAAGCUACCUACUAUAUGAUUCUCACUAUAUGGCAUUCUAGAAAAGACAAGAGUAUAGACAGUAAAAAUAUCAUAGUUUCCAAGUGUUGGAGAGAGGGAGAGAUGAAUAGGUAAGGCACAGAAGAUUUUUAGGCCAGUGAAACUAUUCUGUGUAAUACUAUAGUGGUGAAUACAUGUCAUCAAUACAUUUGACAAACAU